Molecule: non-coding RNA, 1610 nt
Organism: Bemisia tabaci
Lineage: Eukaryota; Metazoa; Arthropoda; Insecta; Hemiptera; Aleyrodidae
Source: RefSeq, a predicted model, not a curated record
UCAUCAAAGUUCAGUGAUUAAAGUCUUAUGAUUUACCGAAUACCUUGGUAUAUUUUCUGAUAAUCUUUAGCAAUCUUCUCUCUUUAACAGGAAAACGGUUUGGACUCAUCAUGGGUGAAGAGAGAAGAUUCCUCGUGGUUUUACAAUUCCUCCAGCUGGGAGAGGAAGUGAGAUCAUACUAGAUAAUCUUUCUUGACUGCAGUCGUUUUAUCGUGCUUGUUGUGAUAUCACAAACAAUAGACAAGGCGAAUUGUAAGAACAGAACAAGAUCUCACUACUCAUAAGACUGGACUAUUGGACUAAUUCCUGCGUAUGUGUUAUAAUAAUGCCGCAUAUGUAGCAACUGACGAGUUCUGUAAUCACUAUUGUGCGCCAAUCUCACAAAUAAUUCGUAAAGUUUUCAUUUACAUUCAAUCUCAAGAAAAGGUCCAAUAACGUAAUAAACCUUAAUAAAACUUGACUUGUGACAAGAACAAAUGCUUCUUUGCCAUGAAUAUCAAAAACAUCUCUAUCAGUUAGCCUGUCUACUUGGUUCAAUUUGUCGUCUUCUGUAUGAAGGAACGUAUCAUGUCUGCACUGUGUCAGUUAAUCUACAAAUACUUAAUUUCCUCAACAGAGAAUCGUCAAAUGAAUUUUUUUUUUUUUGGUGCAUUUUCUCUCUGACGGAUGAAUUAAAUUAUGAUGGCAUUAGAUAUAUGGCAAAUAAGUUAUACUGAAAUUCAACUGCUGCAAUAGGUCAGCUGUGCUAGUCACUGAAUUCCAGUUUAGUUUCAAGAAUUUUGUUUGCUGAUUAAAAUUUUAAAAUAAAAUUGCAAAAAAAAACCAGAAAAUUAAUUUUAAAGAGAAUAACAACUGAAAGUCAAAGAACGAAUCAUCUUGAUGUGGGAGCUCGUUGGAAAAAUCAAUGGGAUUAAUAAAAAAGUAAAAAGUCUACAAAAAUUCACUUCUUUGCACUCUGGAGCAAAAUAUUCUGAUGUUCAUGAUAUGCGAAUUCUUGGAAUAUAAAAGUAACGAACUACUGUACUUUUACUUCAUUCAAUACUCAUUGAAUACUUUUGUCAAAAAUGUGUUUCCAUGGCUCCAUACAAACAUUUACAUCUUUAGGAUCAGGUUUCCUAUUUAAAAAUAAAUUUGGCUUCAUGCAUUAGCCUAAUUUUGUCGAAGUUUUCAAGAAAUGAAAAAAUAUGUUCAUGAUCAAGUCCAGUUAAAGUAUCUCCCCCUAUCUCUAUAUCAAAUUUUGAGACCAAAGUUUAGAAAAAAAAGAAGAAAAUAACCCUAUGAUUCGAAUUAAACUGUAAAAAUUACUGACUAUCCAUUUUAAGUAAUAAAAAAAGUAAAUGUUGCCAAAAAAUGUACAAUAUUCGCAUGUACAGAAUGUAAUAUAAUUUUGUAAAUAGUAUAUUUGUAAUUUUUAGUCUAUGAUGUAAAUUAUCAACAUAUGUCAUUUGAUGAGAGGUAGAUUCAAUGUUUUUCAAGUUCAGAUCAUAAUUGUACUUUUUCAAUGUUAAUGAAACAACGUGUACAUAAGUACAAAUAGAGAAUAAUUUUGAAUAUGAUUGUUUAUAAUAUUUUGUUCAUUCGAUAAAAUAUAAAUGUAUGUGAUAAUCUUG